Non-coding RNA from Clostridiales bacterium oral taxon 876, 383 nucleotides. It matches the Rfam family "Bacterial RNase P class A". Rfam says of the family: Ribonuclease P (RNase P) is a ubiquitous endoribonuclease, found in archaea, bacteria and eukarya as well as chloroplasts and mitochondria. Its best characterised activity is the generation of mature 5'-ends of tRNAs by cleaving the 5'-leader elements of precursor-tRNAs. The record is from Rfam. Lineage: Bacteria; Bacillati; Bacillota; Clostridia; Eubacteriales.
UGAGUAACCCAGAUGGUCGCUGCUUGAUUCUAAUAAAUAUUAGUUAUCAAGGGGAGGAAAGUCCGAGCUCCAUAGGGCAGAGUGCUGGGUAACCCCCAGUGGAGGCGACUCUAAGGAAAGUGCAACAGAGAUAUACCGCCAAAACAAUAUUUGAUUGUUUUGGUAAGGGUGGAAAGGCGAGGUAAGAGCUCACCAGCGCAAUGGCGACUUUGCGGCUAUGUAAACCCCACUUGGAGCAAGACCGAAUAGGAAGGCAUCAUCUUUAAAAAGAUGAAGGAGUUGCCCGCUCCGCCUUCGGGUGUGUCGCUUGAGCUUAUUGGUAACAAUAGGCCUAGAUAGAUGACUGUCUAAUACAGAACUCGGCUUAUAGGAUUACUCAGCCA